AGAGUUUGAUCAUGGCUCAGGAUGAACGCUAGCUACAGGCUUAACACAUGCAAGUCGAGGGGCAGCAUGUUGGUUGCUUGCAACCAAUGAUGGCGACCGGCGCACGGGUGAGUAACGCGUAUCCAACCUACCCUUGUCCAUCGGAUAACCCGUCGAAAGGCGGCCUAACACGAUAUGCGGUUCACAGCAGGCAUCUAAGGUGAACGAAAUGUGAAGGAGAAGGAUGGGGAUGCGUCUGAUUAGCUUGUUGGCGGGGUAACGCCACAGGCUACGAUCAGUAGGGGUUCUGAGAGGAAGGUCCCCCAGAUUGGAACUGGAGACGACGGUCCAAACGUCCUACGGGAGGCA
RNAcentral lists this ribosomal RNA (348 nucleotides) under uncultured bacterium. Its description in RNAcentral is "bacterial SSU rRNA". It matches the Rfam family "Bacterial small subunit ribosomal RNA", at positions 8 to 350 of the family's 1533-position model. The record is from RNAcentral.